This 436-nucleotide ribosomal RNA is filed under the name uncultured Oscillospiraceae bacterium. RNAcentral's name for it is "partial 16S ribosomal RNA". It matches the Rfam family "Bacterial small subunit ribosomal RNA", at positions 341 to 792 of the family's 1533-position model. Lineage: Bacteria; Bacillati; Bacillota; Clostridia; Eubacteriales; Oscillospiraceae. The record is from RNAcentral.
ACGGAAGGCAGCAGUGGGGAAUAUUGGGCAAUGGGGGAAACCCUGACCCAGCAACGCCGCGUGAAGGAAUAAGGCCUUCGGGUUGUAAACUUCUUUUAGUAGGGACGAAGACAUGACGGUACCUACAGAAAAAGCAACGGCUAACUACGUGCCAGCAGCCGCGGUAAUACGUAGGUUGCAAGCGUUGUCCGGAUUUACUGGGUGUAAAGGGCGUGUAGGCGGAGCUGCAAGUCAGAUGUGAAAUCCCGGGGCUUAACCCCGGAACUGCAUUUGAAACUGGAGCCCUUGAGUAUCGGAGAGGCAAGCGGAAUUCCUAGUGUAGCGGUGAAAUGCGUAGAUAUUAGGAGGAACACCAGUGGCGAAGGCGGCUUGCUGGACGACAACUGACGCUGAGGCACGAAAGCGUGGGGAUCGAACAGGAUUAGAUACCCUGGUA